RNAcentral lists this ribosomal RNA (793 nucleotides) under uncultured archaeon. RNAcentral's name for it is "bacterial SSU rRNA". It matches the Rfam family "Archaeal small subunit ribosomal RNA", at positions 85 to 879 of the family's 1478-position model. The record is from RNAcentral.
ACUGCUCAGUAACACGUGGACAACCUGCCCUUAGGUUGGGUAUAAACCCGGGAAACUGGGUAUAAUACCCGAUAGGUCUCGAUUGCUGGAAUGCAUCGAGAUUUAAAGCUCCGGCGCCUAAGGAUGGGUCUGCGGCCUAUCAGGUAGUAGUGGGUGUAGCGUACCUACUAGCCCACGGCGGGUACGGGUUGUGAGAGCAAGAGCCCGGAGAUGGAUUCUGAGACACGAAUCCAGGCCCUACGGGGUGCAGCAGGCGCGAAAACUUUACAAUGCUGGCAACAGCGAUAAGGGAACCUCGAGUGCCAGGUUACAAAUCUGGCUGUCGAGAUGCCUAAAAAGCAUUUCAUAGCAAGGGCCGGGCAAGACCGGUGCCAGCCGCCGCGGUAACACCGGCGGCUCGAGUGGUAACCGUUAUUAUUGGGUCUAAAGGGUCUGUAGCCGGCCGGAUAAGUCUCUUGAGAAAUCUGGCAGCUUAACUGUCAGGCUUUCAGGAGAUACUGUCUGGCUCGAGGCCGGGAGAGGUGAGAGGUACUUCAGGGGUAGGGGUGAAAUCUUGUAAUCCUUGAAGGACCACCAGUGGCGAAGGCGUCUCACCAGAACGGACCUGACGGCAAGGGACGAAAGCUAGGGGCACGAACCGGAUUAGAUACCCGGGUAGUCCUAGCCGUAAACGAUACUCGCUAGGUGUCGGCCACGGUGCGACCGUUGUCGGUGCCGUAGGGAAGCCGUGAAGCGAGCCACCUGGGAAGUACGGCCGCAAGGCUGAAACUUAAAGGAAUUGGCGGGGGAGCAC